GAGCAGGGUUUGUCAUUACCAAUGCGCGAGAAGACCCCGCACGAGAAAGCCCCUGUGCACGAGAGCGCCCCAACCAAAUAUGGAAGUUUUCGCUGCAGCGAAUUGCUUAUCAGCGGUUGGUACGUAAAAAGGAAUAGAAAUUCUCUGAGUAAUCAGACGAGCCUGUUGAACAAAGUCUACGAAGAUACGAGAGGAAAGUCUACGAAGAUACCAGUUUUAUAAAUACCUGGUAAGUUAUCGGUCUGUUUAUUUUACAUUUGAGACUAGUUGUUCAACGU
Paramuricea clavata is the source of this 278-nucleotide non-coding RNA. NCBI's taxonomy places the organism in Eukaryota, Metazoa, Cnidaria, Anthozoa, Malacalcyonacea, Plexauridae. The record is from the annotation of a GenBank genome assembly.